This is a long non-coding RNA of Acanthopagrus latus (yellowfin seabream), 477 nucleotides long. RefSeq lists it as uncharacterized. The record is from RefSeq and is a predicted model, not a curated record. The transcript is spliced from 4 exons. NCBI's taxonomy places the organism in Eukaryota, Metazoa, Chordata, Actinopteri, Spariformes, Sparidae.
GUCAGUGCCGCGACACUUUGGAUCCUGUUCAACCUGCAGGAAAGUCGGAUCAGCCAGUGUACCGAGUGUGACUGACACCUGUCACUGUAGCCGAGGUGUGUCUGGGCAUGAGGCAGCCAUGGUCUAGCAGCCUGACUCUGACGGUUCACCACACCUCAGCUGAAGUCUUCAGUGUGCAUCAAAAGGCACACAGGCACACCCUUUGCAUCAGUUGUCAAAGAAGUGGGUUGAAAGUCUGAUCCGACUCAGGAGACCUGCUGGUUUUCACACGAGCCAUCUCAUCAGGGAGUAAUGUACACAAGGGACCUGAAGGAAGCAUCGAGCAUUGCACUGGACACACCUGAGCUGAAACCAACCACCAACAUGUUCUUGUACUUGCUUUUUGUUGACAUGUCUUUUGGGUUGCAAGACACCAAACGCUAUGUAUUAUAAACACAUUUGCUGCAAACAAAUGAUAAGAAAGAAAAGUAGAGCAAA